Molecule: long non-coding RNA, 339 nt
Filed under: Homo sapiens (human)
Lineage: Eukaryota; Metazoa; Chordata; Mammalia; Primates; Hominidae
Description: non-protein coding LINC02173:15
Source: RNAcentral
UUUGGUCAGAAAAGGAGGCUGGGCUGUCGUGUCAUGAGAGAGCCACAAUUCUUCAAACAUAUUUAACUGCUGGAGAGAAUGGCUCAGAAUCCCAGGUAUCAGCUUCAGCACACAACCAAACAAAGAAAAAAACAGCGAAUCUGACAAAAGCAGGAUGAAGAAUAAAAGAGAAGAGAAGAAAUUAAAGAAAUAGGAAGCAGUUAUGAUGAUUAACAAGACUAACAACUAGUUCAAAGAAAAGAAAGCACUAAUAAAUUAGAAAAACAUCUGGAAAACUGGUCAAGUGAAAGACAAAGAAUGUAAAAGAAAAUAUUAUGAGGAACAUGGGGUCAAAUAAUA